UGUUUUUUUUUUUAAUUUUUAAAUAGCUUGGGCAAUAUCGUAAAUAUACGAGUGUUAAAAGGGCGUUUCUGAACAAGUCUGAACUGAACUAAAAAAGAACGUCGUCUACCGAUUUUCCCUUACUCUCACUUUCCCUCUUCUCUGGCCACUGCCUCCGUCAACAACGUCACGUCCGCCAUCCGCGCCGGCAGCAAAGCCCUCCAUCUCCUCCAAAUUCAUCGACGUGACAUGCCUUCUCCCUCCCGGUCUGACCUGCAACCCACUGCCCCUUUAGGCCUUCACUAAGUAAAAUUUCUCCCAUUUAUCUGAACGACGACCAACAUUGCCUCACUCUUUUGUCGCUGCCACCACUGCCACCGUUAAAAUUGCUGUUGUAGCCGGUGGACCAUACCAUUGGAUCAGAUUUCACUUUUUUUCUCUCCAAGUUUUGCACGAGAUUUCGAAUAAGCCGAUAAUGACUUCAUCUCCUCGGGACUAGCAACAGACAUCAAAUUACACAUAUUCUGCAACCACAUGAGGAAGAAGAUCAGGACUUAUCUACCUUUUGAAGUGGCACACUAGCUGUUUGUAAGAUGAGGAACCUUCAACUUCCAGGAGUUCAAAUGAAGAGAUCAGGAGGUCUUUCGUCCAAAAGAGAUUGAUGAUUGGCCAUGAUGAGUAUGUUCUGAUUAUUAUUAUAAUUAUAUUUGUGCUUAUUAUUAUUGGCUUUUAUUUGGAUAUGAUUAGCAUAAAAAGAGAUCAGGAGGUCUUUCUUUUUCUCUUCUCUCUCCCGUCCUUCAAUUGAAUCAUCUUCAUUACUCCCCAUACCAAGAAUCACUAAAAUGAAUUGGAAAUCGAAUGGAUGGAAUUGGAAUUAAAGUAGUCUUGCACAUUCCAUUAUUCUGAUGGAAUUGGAUUCUGUCCAUUCGAAACCAAACACAACCUGGAUUAGAAUCUUGAAAUCUGAAAGAUUUUGAUUGAAUUGGAAUUGAGUUCCGUUCAUUGACAACCAAGUGCUCAGUGGAAUGGAAUCUUGAAUCAUGAAAUCGUAUUUUACCAAAGUUCUCGAUUAUGGCAUCAUACAUUACGAAGCAGCAAUCUACUUUCAUAUAAGUUGUAAUUGGGAAUUAUGGCAAAAGUACAUUGCUAUUAUGAGUAAAAAACAAAAUAUGUUGUAUAAUCAUGAAAAAACUGAAAAUGGUUUCUAUUAUGAUUAUUUGAAAGUAUGAAACUAUAAUGAAGAAUUUCAUAAAA
Long non-coding RNA from Lactuca sativa (garden lettuce), 1233 nucleotides. RefSeq lists it as uncharacterized. NCBI's taxonomy places the organism in Eukaryota, Viridiplantae, Streptophyta, Magnoliopsida, Asterales, Asteraceae. The record is from RefSeq and is a predicted model, not a curated record.